Molecule: RNA transcript, 715 nt
Organism: Populus nigra (black poplar)
Lineage: Eukaryota; Viridiplantae; Streptophyta; Magnoliopsida; Malpighiales; Salicaceae
Gene name: EG45-like domain containing protein
Exons: 3
Source: RefSeq, a predicted model, not a curated record
CAAAAUUGAGACCUUAGAGGAGGAAGAAAUGGGGUUUAACAUUGGAUCAGCUCUUAUAAUGGUAGGCAUUGUAUCACGCCUUGUAUCUGUUGCAGAUGCUGCUGAAGGAAUUGCCGUUUUCUACAAACCUCCUUAUACUCGAAUAAUGGAGUUAUGGUUGCUGGGGUGAGUGAUGCCCUGUGGAAUGGUGGAGCAGCAUGUGGGAGAAAAUACAGUGUGUCAUGCGUACGAGGAGCAAAUCAAGCUCCAAGACCUUGCAGAAAAGGUAGUGUGGUAGUCACAGUAGUCGAUUUUUGUAGUAAAGGAUGUAAUGGAGUCAUCAAUCUCUCUCAAGAUGCUUUCUCCCGAAUUGCUGAUCCUGAUGCUGGCAAAGUUGUAGUUCGAUACGAUCAGGCUUGAGGGUUUAAUCAUGGGAGAAAGCUGUUUCGAGACCAAGCUGAUCUUCUUAGUGUUAAAAUAAAAUGGCUCGUUAUGGAACGAACUAGUCUGUUUCAUCGAUGAUGGAGGGCUUAUGUAGAAUCAAUCAAUAAAAUGAGAAUCGCCUCAAGUGAGAGACUUUUGAGAUCGUACAGUAGUUUUUAAUGUGAAAUAUAUGAACUGAACUGCAGUUUGUGCUCCGGCCGGGGAAUUCCGUGUCAGAAAAAUGCAUGAACGCGCACCCACUGUAUUAAUUUACCAUUAAAUUAACCAAGUUAUCCAUGUAACACUAGCAUAA